GACAAUUCCAGCACAUGAAAACAUUGUCGCCGCUCUAGCACAGUCACCAGUGAGUGGAAUGGUUGCUUCUGCAAGUCAUGACAGUUCUGUGAAGUUAUGGAAAUAAAACUAGGAGAGGAUUUGAUGCCGCGAUAUAUAUGCGCUUCAGGUGUUAGGGAAAAGUCCGUCUAUGUUGUUUUAGUGUAUUGUUGAUCAGAAAAUAUCAAUUUUUCUGCUUGUUAGUCAUCACAUUAGAGUUUGGUUUGCUUAAAGCAAGUUGAGCAUACUGAUUGCUGAGCAAUGGUUCGGUAGUGUAAUGUCUGCAACUGUUCUCAGUGAUUAACAACUAAUAAUAACAUGAUAUCAAGUUUAAGCUUAUUUCGGC
RNAcentral lists this unclassified non-coding RNA (364 nucleotides) under Hevea brasiliensis (rubber tree). The record is from RNAcentral. Lineage: Eukaryota; Viridiplantae; Streptophyta; Magnoliopsida; Malpighiales; Euphorbiaceae.